Molecule: small RNA, 130 nt
Filed under: Marmota monax (woodchuck)
Lineage: Eukaryota; Metazoa; Chordata; Mammalia; Rodentia; Sciuridae
Source: RNAcentral
GCUGGGUGCAGUUCCUCAUUCUAAAGUGCACUCCUGGAGUCCCAGCUGCUUGGGAGGCUGAGGCUGGAGGACUGCUUGAGUCCAGGAGUUUGGAGACCAACCUGGGCAACAUAGCAAGACCCUAUCUCAA